UUGGAUUUUCAGAUCUGAUUUAUGUGCUAUUAUCUAUGUGCUGCCAUCUAGAUGGCUUGAAACUAACUGACGGAAAACUUAUAAAAUAACUAUAUAGGUGUACAUAUUGUCUACCAUAACGUUUCUGUUAACAAUACUUCAAACCAUAGAACUAGGUUUCAUCAUAGACUUAUACAGUACUUCAGUGGGUUUCAUACUUCAGUGCUUCAAACCAGAGCCUGUCAAUCUGUCGUUUGAAUAUUGUCUUUCAAAGAAAAAUGAAAUGUCUCAAAUUAGAAAUAAACAUAACUACUUUAAUAUAAAGAUAAGCUUGCGCCCCCAUGCGAUGCUCCAUCACCGGGAAGACAGACCACGUUCUGGGUGCCCCAACAACUGGAACUCGACGUCCCCUACGGGAGUUGAGCGAGGACAUCACGUUCGCACCACUCACCCCACCUCCGCUGAAGACACAACGCCGGAUCAAUCUCGGAUAGAAUGAAUUAAUGGAAAAUUGUCAUUUGUAAAUUAAAUAAAUAAAAAAUAAUAAAUAUUUACUAACAA
This is a long non-coding RNA of Bombyx mori (domestic silkworm), 540 nucleotides long. RefSeq lists it as uncharacterized. The record is from RefSeq and is a predicted model, not a curated record. NCBI's taxonomy places the organism in Eukaryota, Metazoa, Arthropoda, Insecta, Lepidoptera, Bombycidae. The transcript is spliced from 2 exons.